AGUGAACGCUGGCGGCAGGCCUAACACAUGCAAGUCGAGCGGCAGCGCGUCCGACCACCCUCGGGUGGUCGGAUGGCGGCGAGCGGCGGACGGGUGAGGAAUGCAUCGGAAUCUGCCUCGUUGUGGGGGAUAGCCCGGAGAAAUCCGGAUUAAUACCGCAUACGUCCUAAGGGGGAAAGCCGCAAGGCGCUAGUAGAUGAGCUCGCGUAAGAUUAGCUAGUUGGUGAGGUAAAGGCUCACCAAGGCGACGAUCUUUAGCUGGU
This 263-nucleotide ribosomal RNA is filed under the name uncultured bacterium. Its description in RNAcentral is "partial 16S ribosomal RNA". It matches the Rfam family "Bacterial small subunit ribosomal RNA", at positions 29 to 291 of the family's 1533-position model. The record is from RNAcentral.